AAAAAUGAUAUUGUUUGCAACCACAAGAACAAUUGAUAAAAUUAUAGAAUUAACCCCAAAAAAUAAGGUAAUAAGAUCACAUUUUUACUAAUUAAGCAACUGGAGUGUCUAAUAUAGUUUCUACUACUGUAUCUCUGUGAUUGUUUGUCAAGAAUCUAAUAGAUGUUAUUAAUAAAAUAAAUUGAUUCUUUCAAAAUUAAGAAUGAAAGUGAAAAUUAUUUGUGUGUUCUUUGUUUGUUGAAAGAGAACAGAUAUAAGACUUAGUAUCAAUUAAAAAUACAAUUAAUUCAAGUAUAACACUAAAAUUAUCAAACUAGAAAGAGAGAAUUAAAAAAAUAUCAAAAUUAAAAGAAAAAAUACCUGAAAUUCAAGAAGCAAAUGAAGCUGAAGCAAGCUGAACUUCUUUGUGGGUUCUUCUUCGAGAGAGAAUGAAGAUGAAAUUUGAAAUUGAGUGAUUGAUGAAAAAAUGAGAGAUGACUGUCAUUUAUAAUGAGAAUGAAAAUGUACGAAACAGAACAAAUUAAAGCAAUAAUCACUUCUUAGAGUGAGUUUACAGACUCAAUAAAUAAAAAUCUCAUUAACAAUAGAAAUCAAUAACAUUACUUCUAAUCUGCAAGCAAUUUGAGAAUUGUUGCAGUUAUGUAAUUUUCCUUUGUUAAAAUGUAUUAAACAGACCAAAUUGAAGCUAAGUGCAUUACGUUAAUAUUAUUACAAGAAACAUCUCAAUAAGAUGCUUGUUAAAAACAAAAAUAAUAUUUUAAAGAGACAUUUCAUCAAACAAGCAACGUGCAUUCAAAUAGGAGAACAGAUACGACAAUUGGAAUCAAUUAAAUCAACCCUAGAUUGUUUAAAAAUACAAAUAAUUCAACUAUAACCCUAAAAUUAUCAAAUCAGAAAGAGAGACGUAGAAAAAAAUUAUCAAAAUUAAAGGAAACAAUACCUGAAAUUCGAGAAGCAAGCUAAAAUUCUUUGUGCGUUCUUCUUCGAGAGAGGAUGGAGAUGAAAUUCGAAAUUAAGUGAUUGAUAAAAAAUGUGAGGUGAUUAUUGAAAAGAAAGCAAGGGGAACGAGUUUGAAUUUUCUUAAAAGAAACAAAUAUGUUCGAAGAACAAAACAAAGGCAGUCUAGUGCGUUUUUUGUUUUUUUUCUUAAGUCAAUAAAAGGAAAAAGGUAAAUGGUAAUUAUUCAAUAAAUAUAUAAUAUAUUUGCCACUUAUUUGGUAAAACGUCAUAAGUAUUUGACGUUUAAACAAAUUGUCAUUUAUAAUUCACAAUUACUCAGUUUUUCACAAAAUGUCAUAUAUAUUUGGUAUUUAUUAAAAAUUGUCAAAUAAAAAAGGUCAAGUAUUCUGUUUUUUCUUGUAGUGAAGUGAGAGUAGUGCAGAUAUGUGGGGAUUAUAUGCAAG
RNAcentral lists this long non-coding RNA (1403 nucleotides) under Citrus sinensis (sweet orange). RNAcentral describes it as "long non-coding RNA (CSIN_LNC005367)". Lineage: Eukaryota; Viridiplantae; Streptophyta; Magnoliopsida; Sapindales; Rutaceae. The record is from RNAcentral.